AUCAAUAAAUAAGCACUAACACAGCUCAUAAUUAGUAAGCAACUAAUAACAAUGAAAGCUCACUUGCUAUAAAUUUAGCAGUAAGAAUAUGUACAGGAACUUGGCAUUAAAUGUUGUGAUGAUACUUGCAAAUUACAUUGAUGAUGCUUCCUCAUGCUAAACUAUAUACAUUAGAGAGCAAUUUAACCGCUGAUUAAUGCAAGUUUAAUCAACAGUCCAUAACGUAUGAAAAGAUUAUCGCCUUUGGUAAUUGAAGAA
Molecule: unclassified non-coding RNA, 258 nt
Filed under: Hevea brasiliensis (rubber tree)
Lineage: Eukaryota; Viridiplantae; Streptophyta; Magnoliopsida; Malpighiales; Euphorbiaceae
Source: RNAcentral